GAUGAACGCUGGCGGCGUGCCUAAUACAUGCAAGUCGAGCGAACAGACGAGGAGCUUGCUCCUCUGAUGUUAGCGGCGGACGGGUGAGUAACACGUGGAUAACCUACCUAUAAGACUGGGAUAACUUCGGGAAACCGGAGCUAAUACCGGAUAACAUGUUGAACCGCAUGGUUCAACAGUGAAAGACGGUCUUGCUGUCACUUAUAGAUGGAUCCGCGCCGCAUUAGCUAGUUGGUAAGGUAACGGCUUACCAAGGCAACGAUGCGUAGCCGACCUGAGAGGGUGAUUGGCCACACUGGAACUGAGACACGGUCCAGACUCCUACGGGAGGCAGCAGUAGGGAAUCUUCCGCAAUGGGCGAAAGCCUGACGGAGCAACGCCGCGUGAGUGAAGAAGGUCUUCGGAUCGUAAAACUCUGUUAUUAGGGAAGAACAAAUGUGUAAGUAACUAUGCACGUCUUGACGGUACCUAAUCAGAAAGCCACGGCUAACUACGUG
This 497-nucleotide ribosomal RNA is filed under the name uncultured bacterium. RNAcentral's name for it is "partial 16S ribosomal RNA". It matches the Rfam family "Bacterial small subunit ribosomal RNA", at positions 28 to 507 of the family's 1533-position model. The record is from RNAcentral.